This 497-nucleotide ribosomal RNA is filed under the name uncultured bacterium. RNAcentral describes it as "partial 16S ribosomal RNA". It matches the Rfam family "Bacterial small subunit ribosomal RNA", at positions 28 to 507 of the family's 1533-position model. The record is from RNAcentral.
GAUGAACGCUGGCGGCGUGCCUAACACAUGCAAGUCGAACGGAAAGACCCUGAGCUGGCUCCUCUAACGUUAGCGGCGGGCGGAUGAGUAACGUAUGCAUCCCAUACCUAUAGGACUGGGAUAACUAAGUGAAACCGAUGCUAGUAAUGUAUAAUAUCUUCAACCGCAUGGUUCAAUAGUUAAAGAGGGUUUUGCUGUCACUUAUAGCUGUAUCCGGGCUGUUUGAGCUGGUUGGUAAGGUAACGGCUUCCCAAGGCGACGAUGCGUGGCCGACCUGAGAGGGUGAUCGGCCACACUGGAAGUGAGACACGGUCCAGACUCCUACGGGAGGCAGCGGUAGGGAAGCGUGGGAAAUGGGCGAAAGCCUGAAGAAGCAACGCCGCGUGGGUGAAGAAGGGCUGCGGGUCGUAAAACGCUGUUAUGGGUGAAGAACAAAUGCAGCAGGAACGAAGCACGUUGUGACGGUACCUAAAGAAGAAGCACCGGCUAACUACGUG